UUCUCUCCUCCCUCAGCAGCCCACGCUUUUACCAGUUCCUUUCUCCAGUCUCCUUGUCUCAUGGUGCCAGGAUUUGCUCCCGCCUUUGUUGUUCAUCUCCUUCCUGCUCAUGCAUCAGCCUCUCUGUUGGCUCGGGGUCGAUCGAUCUCCAUCCGGCUAGCUGCCUCUCUGGGUCGUUCAUCGUGGGACGACAUGGAGGCAAGCUGGCGAUUGAAGGAUUCAGAAAAGCUGGAUGUUUUCCUCUCUUUUAAGUUUGAUCCAGAUCAUUAGGAGAGGUUUACAACUAUUGCCCUUUUUAUUUUGUCCUAAAUCAUCGGCUUUCCUUUCUUGUAGUUUACAUGUGUGGUACAUGCCUGUUUCCAAUUCCGAGAUUGUUAAUUUCUUCUAUCUCCCUUGAAUGCAUAGAAAUGGCUAAAAAAACGUAGGAAUCCUGCUGGAAAUGAAGCAGCCCCUUCUUUGUUCGAUGUAGUCUAAUUGAUCAUCAAUCUGACAAUUAUUUAAUUACCUUGUGAUUGUUCAGUUUUGUCUACUUUUUAUGGCGAUAGGAAUUUGUAGAUGUGCACGCCACACACAUCUCCCUGUGACGGUAUUUUUGAAGUUUAGUUGUUGAGUUCUUAUCUGGACUAGUGUGCAACUGAAACGGAUAUAUCUGUAUCUCAUUUGGGAAAACUGACACGUACUUCAAAUUUCUGUUGCAAAUGGCCAGGUGUAGUGGAUACAAGCUUCAGUUACUACUUACCAAUAAUUUGUUUGACUGAGAAAUUUGAAUAAAAAUAAGCUAGGCCAUCAUCAGUCCAUCUGUUCUUUUUAUCCUCAAAUGUAUUUCCUAAUUAAGUGUAUUUCCACUGUUCUUAUUAGUUAUAACUGUUUCUUGUACUCAUCAUAUGCUUCUCAAAUAUCGUUUUCCACAAAAUCACUCUCUCUCUCUCUCUCUCUCUCUGAAUUGAAUUUGUAUAUGUGUGCUUGUCUAAUUUCUAAAUGGCUAUACAAAGUUACAGACACAAACAAUAUAAAUCAUAAUGUACUAUCAGACUACAACUCUGAUAUUUAUACUUGCAGUGGCAGUCGAUCCUAUCUGUAAGUGAGGCUUUCUACGAAAAUAGGUAUGCACGUUGAGGCAAACAAGCAUAUAAAGGAUUUCCACUUUUAUUUGGUACUAAGAUAUGAUGUAAUGUGGUUUCUCUAUGUUGUACCAUGCAUAUAUAGCAGCAGUUUCUGUCUUGA
Phragmites australis (common reed) is the source of this 1224-nucleotide long non-coding RNA. RefSeq lists it as uncharacterized. The transcript has 2 exons. The record is from RefSeq and is a predicted model, not a curated record. NCBI's taxonomy places the organism in Eukaryota, Viridiplantae, Streptophyta, Magnoliopsida, Poales, Poaceae.